This 468-nucleotide ribosomal RNA is filed under the name uncultured bacterium. Its description in RNAcentral is "partial 16S ribosomal RNA". It matches the Rfam family "Bacterial small subunit ribosomal RNA", at positions 28 to 507 of the family's 1533-position model. The record is from RNAcentral.
GACGAGCGCUGGCGGCGUGCUUAACACAUGCCAGUCGAACGGAAAGGCCCUGCUUUUGUGGGGUGCUCGAGUGGCGAACGGGUGAGUAACACGUGAGUAACCUGCCCUUGACUUUGGGAUAACUUCAGGAAACUGGGGCUAAUACCGGAUAGGAGCUCCUGCUGCAUGGUGGGGGUUGGAAAGUUUCGGCGGUUGGGGAUGGACUCGCGGCUUAUCAGCUUGUUGGUGGGGUAGUGGCUUACCAAGGCUUUGACGGGUAGCCGGCCUGAGAGGGUGACCGGCCACAUUGGGACUGAGAUACGGCCCAGACUCCUACGGGAGGCAGCAGUGGGGAAUAUUGCACAAUGGGCGGAAGCCUGAUGCAGCAACGCCGCGUGCGGGAUGACGGCCUUCGGGUUGUAAACCGCUUUCGCCUAUGACGAAGCGUGAGUGACGGUAAUGGGUAAAGAAGCACCGGCUAACUACGUG